CAGAGCGCGUUUCCCAGGUCGCGUUUCCCAGAGCGCGUUUCCCCGCUCCCAGAGCGCGUUUCCCAGAGCGCGUUUCCCAGGUCGCGUUUCCCAGAGCGCGUUUUCCAGAGCGCACACUAGACGCUCUGGGCGGAGGAGUAGCGUUCUGACCUCCCAUUAACUGUCAAAGACUCAAAGCUAACUGGCUAAAAGUCGGCUAGAUUACUAGCAACUUCCAGGCACAUCAUGAGAGAACACCUCAUUGUGAUCAUUUCUCUCACCCUAAAGCCGGUUAGUAUGUUUUCAUGUUAUCUAUUAGUGACUGGUAACUGUGCUGCUGGCAACAAUUUAUGAACUAAGUUAUUUUUCAGAGUGUUGUGAAAUCAGAGUAAAUUUACGUAACACAGCCAAUGUGAAUGUAAAGAGGAGAUGUUGAAUGAAUUAAUGGUCCAGCGCUGUCAAACCACUUAAUUUGUUUAUGUUUUACACUAUUUACAGAAUAUCUCCACAUUAUGAGGUUUGGAAUAGUCUUGUGAAAUGAUGAUAAUGUCGUUUUAGUGUAGCUUAGAGCUGUUUGAAAAGACCACCUGAAAUUUCAGCCUGUUUUAGUGGGAUUGGAGCUUUCGCCUGCCUGGUGAUAUCACCAGGUGGUAAAUUAGUUAAAUAGACCAAUAAACAGAGUUUCAAACCUGUCUGCCAAUAACAGUUAGUUUUCAGUUUUCUCUCACUCACUCUGGAGGAGAUGGCCUCCUUUUGCGGUCACUGGCGGUUAGCUGCUGGCCUCACUUCACGCUAAUGCUCAGCCAUCUGUUCAGGAUCCAACGGGCCGAGGCUGGAUGAGAUCUCUCUGAUGGUGGAGAGGGAGUUCCAGACUUUGACGUCACAGACAGAGAAAGAUCGACAUGACCUCUCCGUCUCCUCUCAGCGCCCUGACGAUGUCCGGUGUGACGACUGUUCCCAUGGCGAUGACCCCAUAUGGGAGACACAGGUGGAGAAGAAGAAGGAGGAGGAAAAGGUGAACCCAGAGGAGGAGCAAAGGAGGGACAUUGCCAAGUACCUCAGGGGCCUCCUGAUCCCAGGGCAGGAGGGUAGAGGGGAGGACAGUUCCAUCAUGGUGGAACCUCUCCAUAUUCCUAACCCUUACCUGUUGGACUCCAUCCUGCUGAACCCUGACCUCGGUGCUAACCUCUCCCAUUUAGUUCCUGACUUGCUCCCUGAUCUCUCAUCCCUGCUCCCCAACCUGGCCCCCAACCUGGCCCCCAGCCUGCUCCCCAACCUGGCCCCCGACCUGGCCCCCAGCCUGCU
RNAcentral lists this long non-coding RNA (1284 nucleotides) under Salmo salar (Atlantic salmon). RNAcentral's name for it is "lncRNA (ENSSSAG00000066430.2)". The record is from RNAcentral. Lineage: Eukaryota; Metazoa; Chordata; Actinopteri; Salmoniformes; Salmonidae.